Molecule: unclassified non-coding RNA, 263 nt
Filed under: Hevea brasiliensis (rubber tree)
Lineage: Eukaryota; Viridiplantae; Streptophyta; Magnoliopsida; Malpighiales; Euphorbiaceae
Source: RNAcentral
CUCAUUUUUCAGGUGCUAUAUCCACAUGAUCGAAGAAUCUAUUCACAUUUGUGAUCCAAUCUAAAAAUUCCUCUAUAUUGAGAUCCCCAUAGAAAUUAGGAACAUCAAGAUAACCCGUUCUUCUUCUCCUAUCACCACCAUACCAUUGAUGUUUAUUGAACUUGAUUAGUUCAUGGUUAUCUUCUUCUAAAUCAUCAUGGUAGACAUAUUGCCUACGAGCGGAACUUGGUCAAUAAAUAAAGUCACCACGAGUUACACCAUCU